GUUAUUUGUCGCGAUGAGGAAGGGCAGAUUCUAAUUCUAAAAGAUGUUUGGAAUGUGUCCGACUGUCUCAGCUGCGAGUGUACAGAGGGUCGUCUGAAAUGCAAGAGGACACUUCAAGUCAACUUCCCAGGCAAACACUUGGCAUACGUACCUUUUAAUGAGUCCUGUGAACAACCAGGGUGUAACGCUAUGGAGUUUAUUAAAGCCAGGAGAGAAACUUGUGAAGUAAUUGAAACCGUCGAAGGUGGCCACAUUUUGUCACGAGGAGACAACUGGGACUACAAAGGGUGUCAAUUCCUCUUUGAAGGACACAAGCAGAUCACAGGGUGCCCAAAAAUGUCUCUAUCAACCUGUUAUAUCUACAAUGGAGCAGUCUGUUGUGCUGAGAAAU
This is a long non-coding RNA of Pocillopora damicornis (cauliflower coral), 391 nucleotides long. Lineage: Eukaryota; Metazoa; Cnidaria; Anthozoa; Scleractinia; Pocilloporidae. The record is from RefSeq and is a predicted model, not a curated record.